RNAcentral lists this ribosomal RNA (738 nucleotides) under uncultured beta proteobacterium. RNAcentral describes it as "bacterial SSU rRNA". It matches the Rfam family "Bacterial small subunit ribosomal RNA", at positions 138 to 873 of the family's 1533-position model. Lineage: Bacteria; Pseudomonadati; Pseudomonadota; Betaproteobacteria. The record is from RNAcentral.
GGGGGAUAACGCAGCGAAAGCUGUGCUAAUACCGCAUACGAUCUAUGGAUGAAAGCGGGGGGUCGCAAGACCUCGCGCGAUUGGAGCGGCCGAUAUCAGAUUAGCUAGUUGGUGGGGUAAAGGCUCACCAAGGCGACGAUCUGUAGCUGGUCUGAGAGGACGACCAGCCACACUGGAACUGAGACACGGUCCAGACUCCUACGGGAGGCAGCAGUGGGGAAUUUUGGACAAUGGGCGCAAGCCUGAUCCAGCAAUGCCGCGUGCAGGAUGAAGGCCUUCGGGUUGUAAACUGCUUUUGUACGGAGCGAAAAGGCUUUCUCUAAUACAGGGGGCUCAUGACGGUACCGUAAGAAUAAGCACCGGCUAACUACGUGCCAGCAGCCGCGGUAAUACGUAGGGUGCGAGCGUUAAUCGGAAUUACUGGGCGUAAAGCGUGCGCAGGCGGUUUUGUAAGACAGAUGUGAAAUCCCCGGGCUCAACCUGGGACCUGCAUUUGUGACUGCAAGGCUGGAGUACGGCAGAGGGGGAUGGAAUUCCGCGUGUAGCAGUGAAAUGCGUAGAUAUGCGGAGGAACACCGAUGGCGAAGGCAAUCCCCUGGGCCUGUACUGACGCUCAUGCACGAAAGCGUGGGGAGCAAACAGGAUUAGAUACCCUGGUAGUCCACGCCCUAAACGAUGUCAACUGGUUGUUGGGUCUUACCUGACUCAGUAACGAAGCUAACGCGUGAAGUGACCGCC